RNAcentral lists this long non-coding RNA (1026 nucleotides) under Homo sapiens (human). RNAcentral's name for it is "HSALNT0340330". Lineage: Eukaryota; Metazoa; Chordata; Mammalia; Primates; Hominidae. The record is from RNAcentral.
ACUACUUGCUAUUCAAGAGGAGAGAAAGUCAUGUUCUUCAUCUGUCUGUAGGGAAUUCGCGCCAUUUGGAUUGUGUGCCAUUCAUGGGACCAAUCACUGGCCGAGCUCAGCAUCACAUACCUGUUUCUUUAAUGGGAAGGUGGGGUUCUGAUUUGAAUGGAAAAAGCAUGCCUCAGAGAAAAAGAGUUGAAGAAGGGGCCACCUGACCAGAGAAACGCAAAGCAAAGCAAAAACCCAGCAUUGUGUCAAUCAAACCUUGCAUUCUAGACAGUAGCAAGUAAUUCAAAUUUAAAUACUAUAAAAACUGAUAUAUAUUUUUUUCUGAAUUUUUGCAUGAAUUUUGUCUUCACAUUAAAGCUUAUUCACUGAAUUUCAUGUGAUUUAAUUUAAUGUCUGUGACAGCCUUUUCAGACAAACAAAUUAAAAUGCAGGAGAAAAAAUGUUUGUCAGACCACACAUCCUCAUUUGGAGCUCAGAAAAUGUAAUCCUCGUAGGUAAGGACAGCAGAGCCUACGGGCAGGUGUGCUGUCUGUCGUGUCUCACCUGCCCACCUCCAGUGCUCCAUUUCUUGGCGAGGAAGCCAGCCUGCUUGAGCACUCAUUGAAUAUAUAUUUAAUGGUGCGACAUUUAUGCGAUGCCAAGGAGACUUUGAAAUGACUAAAUUUAAAAUAGAUCUUUCUACCUCAACCAAGAGAGAGAAAGCAAAAGGAAAUGAAAGACACUCUGUGAGUUGAGAAGACACAUUGCAAAAGAGCUAAAACCAAAUAUGCCUGCAGGUUUCCAAAGCAGGCUUUUGUUAUUUUACUUUCUAUCUCUUUUUCUCUGUCUCUUUCUUCCUUUCUACCCCAGAUGUACCAGGCAAAUUAGUAAACAAUAAUAGUAAUGAUGAUUCUAAUGAUGAUAUUACUAAGGAUAACAACCCUUUAUGGAACACUCAUUACAUGUCAAACACUUUGCCAACCUUUUUAUAUCAAUGAUCUAAUUCAAUACUCACCACCAGGGAGUGAAUUUUAUUUGUAUAUUAUA